UAUAUCGGAACGUGCCCAGUCGUGGGGGGAUAACGUUCGGAAACGAACGCUAAUACCGCAUACGUCCUACGGGAGAAAGCAGGGGACCUUCGGGCCUUGCGCUAUCAGAUGAGCCUAGGUCGGAUUAGCUAGUUGGUGAGGUAAUGGCUCACCAAGGCGACGAUCCGUAACUGGUCUGAGAGGAUGAUCAGUCACACUGGAACUGAGACACGGUCCAGACUCCUACGGGAGGCAGCAGUGGGGAAUAUUGGACAAUGGGCGAAAGCCUGAUCCAGCCAUGCCGCGUGUGUGAAGAAGGUCUUCGGAUUGUAAAGCACUUUAAGUUGGGAGGAAGGGCAGUUACCUAAUACGUGAUUGUUUUGACGUUACCGACAGAAUAAGCACCGGCUAACUCUGUG
RNAcentral lists this ribosomal RNA (398 nucleotides) under uncultured bacterium. RNAcentral describes it as "bacterial SSU rRNA". It matches the Rfam family "Bacterial small subunit ribosomal RNA", at positions 114 to 507 of the family's 1533-position model. The record is from RNAcentral.